RNAcentral lists this transfer RNA (73 nucleotides) under Mus musculus (house mouse). Its description in RNAcentral is "tRNA-Asn". Lineage: Eukaryota; Metazoa; Chordata; Mammalia; Rodentia; Muridae. The record is from RNAcentral.
GGAGAGAUAGCGCAGCGGUUAAGAGUACGGACUGUUCUUCCAGAGGUCCUGAGUUCAAUUCCCAGCAACCUCA